UCUCUCCUCCCUCUUUCUUCCCAGUCGACCCUUUCUUCCCCAUUUCUCUUCUUGCUCGAUGGAAUCGAGCAAACCAGCGAAGCUGGAGAAGUCGCGUGCCUCCGCCAGAGCCAAACCCACCGCCGCACGUCGCCGCAUGCCAUCGUUGCUCGGCCCUGGCCGCGUGCCCUCCGUCUUCCCCCUUCCUCUCCUGUCGCGGUCUCUCUCCUCCAUCUCUGGUUCUUACUCGAAGACCCAGCGGAUCUGAGGACGUCGGAGCAGCCAGCUAGCUGCUGGACCGCCGUCUCGCGCCUUUGCCCCCCACCGUUCGCCGUCGAGCUACACGCCGUUGCCUCGCCACUGCCCCGCUCGUCUCGGCCUCCCUCUCACCCAGCUCUCUGUUUCAGCGAGCUGUCCAGCUCGUCCUAGCUGCUGUGGACCACCGCCGGAGCUCCUACCGCCACCGCCUAGGUCCGGUUCAGCCUCCUCCGUCCAUCUAAGCCCUUACAUGCCUCAACCAAACUUGGAUCUGCCUUUUUUCCGGCCUCAACCAGCAGCGAACGGGGAGGAGAAAAAUGGGUAUGGCAGCAGAUUCGUGGCCCGUUUUGGCCGGCUUCCCAACCCCGGAAGCUAGGCCCGCCUUGGAGUGAAUCGAUCCCCUCGGCGUCCCCAUCGAUUUGAGCCGCUCGGAUCACUAAUCGAGUGAGUUUAACUCACUAAUCCCCGCUUAGUAAAUUAAUCUGGUUUAAGGGAUGUUUAGAUUAAGCUAAGUAGGUUUAGGUGAUUAGAUUAAUUUAUUUAAAUGUUAAGUGGAUUAAGGGAUGUGAUUAGUUUAGUGGAUAAUUAAUUAAGGCUAAGUAAAUGUUUGGAUUAAAGUAAUCUUGUUUAAGCCUUAAUUAAUUAUUUUAAAUUAAAUAAUUAAUUCGAAUUUGUACUAUUAUAAUUAUAAUAUAAUAUUAUUAUAUUUAAUUUUCGGAAUAAAUUUAAUUAUUUAUUAUUUUCCAUAAAUUUUGACCGGGAUAGCCGGUGACCGGAAUUUUAUGCUAAUGAUCGUGGUGAAGUCCGUUUGUUUAAUUGAGCUCCGAUUUGAGCUAAAUUGAAUUUAUUGUAAUUAAUUAUUAAUUUUCGAAAUUAAUUAAUUAAUUAAUUAAAUUUCGGAAAUUAAGAUUUAGAUGGCCAACGACCAAAAUUCCAUGCUGAUUAUCGUGGUGCAAUCCGUUUAUUUAUUUGAGCAUUAAUUUGUGCUGAAUCGAAUUAAUUGGGAAUUUAGGAUUUAUUCCUAAAUUAUAUGAUUUUGGUUAUUAAUGGAGAAAUAACCAGGCGUCAGUUUAUAGCGCCAAAAAUAUGUAAUGGGCUGAUGAAAUUGGUGGGAUAUUUUUAAUUAAAAUUAUUAUAUUUUGGCUAAGGCCGACUGUGUACCCACACACGGCUAUUUAUCGUGAAUGAUAAAAAUGAUGAAUUGACUAUAUGGUUGGAGUGGUAUACUAUAUCGGCCUUCGGGCGAUAUGUUAGUUUUGGGUGAGCAGUAUACCGGUAUACUAUAUUGACCUACGGGCGAUAUGUCAGCUUUGGGUGAGCAGUAUACCUUAUUAUCAGCUUUGGGCGAGCAUAUAUAGUAUACUAAAUUGGCUUGGGGGCCCUAAUCUAUCAGCUUUGGGCGAGCAUAUACAUAGUAUACUAUAUCUAUCAGCUUUGGGCGAGCUAUGCUAUCUAUUAUCAGCUUUGGGUGAGCAGUCCUAGACUAUGGUCGGACUUUAUAGAUAAUAUUGAAUGUACUGACCAGGGAAAGGUCGUGGUGACAUGUAAUCGAUUAAAUCGAUUGAUCGCUGAGUCGAUCUGAUUGGUGGAAUGUGAUUGUUUGCUGUAGUUAUCGGUAUUAUUAAUUAAACUAAUGUGCAGGAAAGGAACUGAUGCCAAGGUAAGCCCUUUGACUUGUGUUGUGCUUAGGCAACCCUUAUGGCGUAUUAGCUUCCUAAUUGGGUCUUAGUGGGGGUAGAACUUGCUGAGACAUAAUCUUAUCUCGGUUUGGGGAAAAUAUUUCAGGUUCCUAGAUGACGAUCGUGGAGGACCGGAAGUCCUGAAGUUCGGAAGGUGGAGGCUGAGGAAUCGGCAAAUGGGUCUGACUAGUGGAUGUUAAGACAGUCCCCUUUUUGAUAAACCGUUAAUUUUGUAAACAGCCUAAGUUUAUAAUUAACCGGUUUGUCUAUAAAGACUCGUCUUGGUUUGAAAAUAUAUAUAUGAUCCUACUUUUCUACCCCA
RNAcentral lists this long non-coding RNA (2238 nucleotides) under Eucalyptus grandis. RNAcentral describes it as "long non-coding RNA (EGRA_LNC000648)". The record is from RNAcentral. Lineage: Eukaryota; Viridiplantae; Streptophyta; Magnoliopsida; Myrtales; Myrtaceae.